AAUGGAGGAAACUCUGAUGCAGCGAUGCCGCGUGAGUGAAGAAGGCCCUUGGGUUGUAAAGCUCUUUCGUCGGGGAAGAAAAUGACUGUACCCGAAUAAGAAGGUCCGGCUAACUUCGUGCCAGCAGCCGCGGUAAUACGAAGGGACCUAGCGUAGUUCGGAAUUACUGGGCUUAAAGAGUUCGUAGGUGGUUGAAAAAGUUGGUGGUGAAAUCCCAGAGCUUAACUCUGGAACUGCCAUCAAAACUUUUCAGCUAGAGUUUGAUAGAGGAAAGCAGAAUUUCUAGUGUAGAGGUGAAAUUCGUAGAUAUUAGAAAGAAUACCAAUUGCGAAGGCAGCUUUCUGGAUCAUUACUGACACUGAGGAACGAAAGCAUGGGUAGCGAAGAGGAUU
Molecule: ribosomal RNA, 392 nt
Filed under: uncultured Gammaproteobacteria bacterium
Lineage: Bacteria; Pseudomonadati; Pseudomonadota; Gammaproteobacteria
Description: bacterial SSU rRNA
Rfam family: Bacterial small subunit ribosomal RNA
Source: RNAcentral